AUUGAACGCUGGCGGCAGGCCUAACACAUGCAAGUCGAACGGUAACAGGAAGAAGCUUGCUUCUUUGCUGACGAGUGGCGGACGGGUGAGUAAUGUCUGGGAAACUGCCUGAUGGAGGGGGAUAACUACUGGAAACGGUAGCUAAUACCGCAUAACGUCGCAAGACCAAAGGGGGGGACCUUCGGGCCUCUUGCCAUCGGAUGUGCCCAGAUGGGAUUAGCUAGUAGGUGGGGUAACGGCUCACCUAGGCGACGAUCCCUAGCUGGUCUGAGAGGAUGACCAGCCACACUGGAACUGAGACACGGUCCAGACUCCUACGGGAGGCAGCAGUGGGGAAUAUUGCACAAAGGGCGCAAGCCUGAUGCAGCCAUGCCGCGUGUAUGAAGAAGGCCUUCGGGUUGUAAAGUACUUUCAGCGGGGAGGAAGGGAGUAAAGUUAAUACCUUUGCUCAUUGACGUUACCCGCAGAAGAAGCACCGGCUAACUCCGUG
This 490-nucleotide ribosomal RNA is filed under the name uncultured bacterium. RNAcentral's name for it is "partial 16S ribosomal RNA". It matches the Rfam family "Bacterial small subunit ribosomal RNA", at positions 30 to 507 of the family's 1533-position model. The record is from RNAcentral.